AACGUACGCUGGCGGCACGCCUAACACAUGCAAGUCGAACGAAGUAGCAAUACUUAGUGGCAGACGGGUGAGUAACAUGUAGGUAUCUGCCCUUUGGCCUGGAAUAACACGAGGAAACUUGUGCUAAUACCGGAUAAGUCUUUACGGAGAAAGCUUUAUGCACCAUUGGAUGAGCCUGCACUUGAUUAGUUUGUUGGUGGGGUAAUGGCCUACCAAGACUGUGAUCAAUAGCUGAUUUGAGAGGAUGAUCAGCCACAUUGGGACUGAGACACGGCCCAAACUCCUACGGGAGGCAGCAGUGGGGAAUCUUGCACAAUGGAGGAAACUCUGAUGCAGCGAUGCCGCGUGAGUGAAGAAGGCCCUUGGGUUGUAAAGCUCUUUCGUCGGGGAAGAAAAUGACUGUACCCGAAUAAGAAGGUCCGGCUAACUUCGUGCCAGCGGCCGCGGUAAUACGAAGGGACCUAGCGUAGUUCGGAAUUACUGGGCUUAAAGAGUUCGUAGGUGGUUGAAAAAGUUAGUGGUGAAAUCCCAGAGCUUAACUCUGGAACUGCCAUUAAAACUUUUCAGCUAGAGUAUGAUAGAGGAAAGCAGAAUUUCUAGUGUAGAGGUGAAAUUCGUAGAUAUUAGAAAGAAUACCAAUUGCGAAGGCAGCUUUCUGGAUCAUUACUGACACUGAGGAACGAAAGCAUGGGUAGCGAAGAGGAUUAGAUACCCUCGUAGUCCAUGCCGUAAACGAUGUGUGUUAGACGUUGGAAAUUUAUUUUCAGUGUCGCAGGGAAACCGAUAAACACACCGCCUGGGGAGUACGACCGCAAGGUUAAAACUCAAAUGAAUUGACGGGGACCCGCACAAGUAGUGGAGCAUGUGGUUUAAUUCGAAGAUACGCGCAGAACCUUACCAACACUUGACAUGUUCGUCGCGACUCUAAGAGAUUAGAGUUUUCGGUUCGGCCGGACGAAACACAGGUGCUGCAUGGCUGUCGUCAGCUCGUGUCGUGAGAUGUUGGGUUAAGUCCCGCAACGAGCGCAACCCUCACUUUUAGUUGCCAUCAUUAAGUUGGGCACUCUGAAAGAACUGCCAGUGAUAAGCUGGAGGAAGGUGGGGAUGACGUCAAGUCCUCAUGGCCCUUACGUGUUGGGCUAUACACGUGCUACAAUGGUAUCUACAACAGGAAGCAAGACUGCGAAGUUAAGCAAAUCCCUAAAAGAUACCUCAGUUCGGAUUGCACUCUGCAACUCGAGUGCAUGAAGCUGGAAUUACUAGUAAUCGUGGAUCAGCGUGCCACGGUGAAUGCGUUCCCGGGUCU
RNAcentral lists this ribosomal RNA (1306 nucleotides) under uncultured bacterium. Its description in RNAcentral is "bacterial SSU rRNA". It matches the Rfam family "Bacterial small subunit ribosomal RNA", at positions 28 to 1381 of the family's 1533-position model. The record is from RNAcentral.